This 1005-nucleotide ribosomal RNA is filed under the name Staphylococcus haemolyticus. RNAcentral's name for it is "bacterial LSU rRNA". It matches the Rfam family "Bacterial large subunit ribosomal RNA", at positions 1926 to 2925 of the family's 2925-position model. The record is from RNAcentral. Lineage: Bacteria; Bacillati; Bacillota; Bacilli; Caryophanales; Staphylococcaceae.
AACGGCGGCCGUAACUAUAACGGUCCUAAGGUAGCGAAAUUCCUUGUCGGGUAAGUUCCGACCUGCACGAAUGGCGUAAUGAUGGCCAGGCUGUCUCCACCCGAGACUCAGUGAAAUUGAACUCGCUGUGAAGAUGCAGUGUACCCGCGGCAAGACGGAAAGACCCCGUGAACCUUUACUAUAGCUUGACACUGAACAUUGAGCCUUGAUGUGUAGGAUAGGUGGGAGGCUUUGAAGCGUGGACGCCAGUCUGCGUGGAGCCAACCUUGAAAUACCACCCUUUAAUGUUUGAUGUUCUAACGUAGACCCGUGAUCCGGGUUGCGGACAGUGUCUGGUGGGUAGUUUGACUGGGGCGGUCUCCUCCCAAAGAGUAACGGAGGAGCACGAAGGUUAGCUAAUCCUGGUCGGACAUCAGGAGGUUAGUGCAAUGGCAUAAGCUAGCUUGACUGCGAGCGUGACGGCGCGAGCAGGUGCGAAAGCAGGUCAUAGUGAUCCGGUGGUUCUGAAUGGAAGGGCCAUCGCUCAACGGAUAAAAGGUACUCCGGGGAUAACAGGCUGAUACCGCCCAAGAGUUCAUAUCGACGGCGGUGUUUGGCACCUCGAUGUCGGCUCAUCACAUCCUGGGGCUGAAGUAGGUCCCAAGGGUAUGGCUGUUCGCCAUUUAAAGUGGUACGCGAGCUGGGUUUAGAACGUCGUGAGACAGUUCGGUCCCUAUCUGCCGUGGGCGCUGGAGAAUUGAGGGGGGCUGCUCCUAGUACGAGAGGACCGGAGUGGACGCAUCACUGGUGUUCGGGUUGUCAUGCCAAUGGCAUUGCCCGGUAGCUAAAUGCGGAAAAGAUAAGUGCUGAAAGCAUCUAAGCACGAAACUUGCCCCGAGAUGAGUUCUCCCUGACUCCUUGAGAGUCCUGAAGGAACGUUGAAGACGACGACGUUGAUAGGUCGGGUGUGUAAGCGUAGCGAUACGUUGAGCUAACCGAUACUAAUGAACCGUGAGGCUUAACCUU